This 253-nucleotide ribosomal RNA is filed under the name uncultured bacterium. RNAcentral's name for it is "partial 16S ribosomal RNA". It matches the Rfam family "Bacterial small subunit ribosomal RNA", at positions 524 to 776 of the family's 1533-position model. The record is from RNAcentral.
UACGUAGGUGACAAGCGUUAUCCGGAAUUAUUGGGCGUAAAGCGCCCGCAGGCGGCUGUUCAAGUCUGACGUGAAAUCGCCCGGCUCAACUGGGCGGGGUCAGCGGAUACGGCGUGGCUGGAGCAAGCUAGGGGGCAAUGGAAUUCCCGGUGUAGUGGUGGAAUGCGUAGAUAUCGGGAGGAACACCAGUGGCGAAGGCGGUUGCCUGGAGCUUUGCUGACGCUGAGGCGCGAAAGCGUGGGGAGCGAUCCGG